Molecule: ribosomal RNA, 410 nt
Filed under: uncultured bacterium
Lineage: Bacteria
Description: bacterial SSU rRNA
Rfam family: Bacterial small subunit ribosomal RNA
Source: RNAcentral
AAUAUUGCGCAAUGGACGAAAGUCUGACGCAGCGACGCCGCGUGUGGGAUGACGGUCUUCGGAUUGUAAACCACUGUCGGGAGGGACGAAUACGCCGCAAGGCGGGUGACGGUACCUCCAAAGGAAGCACCGGCUAACUCCGUGCUAGCAGCCGCGGUAAUACGGAGGGUGCGAGCGUUGUCCGGAAUCACUGGGCGUAAAGGGCGCGUAGGCGGCCUGAUAAGUAGGGGGUGAAAUCCUGCGGCUUAACCGCAGGGCUGCCUUCUAAACUGUCAGGCUUGAGCACAGUAGAGGCAGGUGGAAUUCCCGGUGUAGCAGUGAAAUGCGUAGAGAUCGGGAGGAACAUCUGUGGCGAAGGCGGCCAUCUGGACCAGCACUGACACUGAGGCACGAAAGCGUGGGGAGCAAAC